UGAAACUAACAAGGAUUCCCCUAGUAACUGCGAGUGAAGCGGGAAAAGCUCAAAUUUAAAAUCUGGUGGUCUUAGGCCAUCCGAGUUGUAAUCUAGAGAAGUGUUACCCGCGUCGGACCGUGUACAAGUCUCCUGGAAUGGAGCGUCAUAGAGGGUGAGAAUCCCGUCUUUGACACGGACUACCGAGGCUUUGUGGUGCGCUCUCAAAGAGUCGAGUUGUUUGGGAAUGCAGCUCAAAAUGGGUGGUAAAUUCCAUCUAAAGCUAAAUAUUGGCGAGAGACCGAUAGCGAACAAGUACCGUGAGGGAAAGAUGAAAAGAACUUUGGAAAGAGAGUUAAACAGUACGUGAAAUUGCUAAAAGGGAAACGCUUGAAGUCAGUCGCGUUGGCCGGAAAUCAGCCUUGCUUUUGUGAGGUGUACUUUCUGGUUGACGGGCCAGCAUCAGUUUUGACCGGUGGAAAAAGUCUAGGGGAAUGUGGCAUCUUCGGAUGUGUUAUAGCCCUUGGUCGUAUACAUCGGUUGGGACUGAGGAACUCAGCACGCCGCAAGGCCGGGUCUUUGACCACGUUCGUGCUUAGGAUGCUGGCAUAAUGGCUUUAAUCGACCCGUCUUGAAACACGGACCAAGGAGUCUAACAUGCCUGCGAGUGUUUGGGUGGAAAACCCGGACGCGUAAUGAAAGUGAAAGUUGAGAUCCCUGUCAUGGGGAGCAUCGACGCCCGGACCAGAAGUUUUCUGACGGCCCUGCGGUAGAGCAUGUAUGUUGGGACCCGAAAGAUGGUGAACUAUGCCUGAAUAGGGUGAAGCCAGAGGAAACUCUGGUGGAGGCUCGUAGCGAUUCUGACGUGCAAAUCGAUCGUCAAAUUUGGGUAUAGGGGCGAAAG
This 883-nucleotide ribosomal RNA is filed under the name Psathyrella hellebosensis. RNAcentral describes it as "partial large subunit ribosomal RNA". It matches the Rfam family "Eukaryotic large subunit ribosomal RNA", at positions 60 to 929 of the family's 3401-position model. Lineage: Eukaryota; Fungi; Basidiomycota; Agaricomycetes; Agaricales; Psathyrellaceae. The record is from RNAcentral.